RNAcentral lists this ribosomal RNA (1345 nucleotides) under uncultured bacterium. Its description in RNAcentral is "bacterial SSU rRNA". It matches the Rfam family "Bacterial small subunit ribosomal RNA", at positions 27 to 1381 of the family's 1533-position model. The record is from RNAcentral.
GGAUGAACGCUGGCGGCGUGCUUAACACAUGCAAGUCGAACGAUGAAAGCGGGAGCUUGCUCCUGCUGGAUUAGUGGCGAACGGGUGAGUAACACGUGAGUAACCUGCCCUUGACUCUGGGAUAAGCGUUGGAAACGACGUCUAAUACCGGAUACGACCUUCGGAGGCAUCUCCUGGGGGUGGAAAGAAUUUCGGUCAAGGAUGGACUCGCGGCCUAUCAGCUAGUUGGUGAGGUAAUGGCUCACCAAGGCGACGACGGGUAGCCGGCCUGAGAGGGUGACCGGCCACACUGGGACUGAGACACGGCCCAGACUCCUACGGGAGGCAGCAGUGGGGAAUAUUGCACAAUGGGCGCAAGCCUGAUGCAGCAACGCCGCGUGAGGGACGACGGCCUUCGGGUUGUAAACCUCUUUUAGUAGGGAAGAAGCGAAAGUGACGGUACCUGCAGAAAAAGCACCGGCUAACUACGUGCCAGCAGCCGCGGUAAUACGUAGGGUGCAAGCGUUAUCCGGAAUUAUUGGGCGUAAAGAGCUCGUAGGCGGUUUGUCACGUCUGCUGUGAAAACUGGAGGCUCAACCUCCAGCCUGCAGUGGGUACGGGCAGACUAGAGUGCGGUAGGGGAGAUUGGAAUUCCUGGUGUAGCGGUGGAAUGCGCAGAUAUCAGGAGGAACACCGAUGGCGAAGGCAGAUCUCUGGGCCGUAACUGACGCUGAGGAGCGAAAGCAUGGGGAGCGAACAGGAUUAGAUACCCUGGUAGUCCAUGCCGUAAACGUUGGGAACUAGAUGUAGGGACCAUUCCACGGUUUCUGUGUCGCAGCUAACGCAUUAAGUUCCCCGCCUGGGGAGUACGGCCGCAAGGCUAAAACUCAAAGGAAUUGACGGGGGCCCGCACAAGCGGCGGAGCAUGCGGAUUAAUUCGAUGCAACGCGAAGAACCUUACCAAGGCUUGACAUAUACCGGAAAAGUUCAGAAAUGUUCUCCCCGCAAGGUCGGUAUACAGGUGGUGCAUGGUUGUCGUCAGCUCGUGUCGUGAGAUGUUGGGUUAAGUCCCGCAACGAGCGCAACCCUCGUUCUAUGUUGCCAGCACGUAAUGGUGGGAACUCAUAGGAGACUGCCGGGGUCAACUCGGAGGAAGGUGGGGAUGACGUCAAAUCAUCAUGCCCCUUAUGUCUUGGGCUUCACGCAUGCUACAAUGGCCGAUACAAAGGGCUGCAAUACCGCGAGGUGGAGCGAAUCCCAAAAAGUCGGUCUCAGUUCGGAUUGAGGUCUGCAACUCGACCUCAUGAAGUCGGAGUCGCUAGUAAUCGCAGAUCAGCAACGCUGCGGUGAAUACGUUCCCGGGCCU